This 416-nucleotide ribosomal RNA is filed under the name uncultured bacterium. RNAcentral's name for it is "bacterial SSU rRNA". It matches the Rfam family "Bacterial small subunit ribosomal RNA", at positions 8 to 437 of the family's 1533-position model. The record is from RNAcentral.
AGAGGUUUGAUCCUGGGCUCAGAACGAACGCUGGCGGCAGGCUUAACACAUGCAAGUCGGAGGUGACGCAGGGCUUCGGCCCUGCGGAAACUGGCGCACGGGUGAGUAACGCGUGGGAAUCUACCCCGGGGUGGGGAAUAACCGCUGGAAACGGCGGCUAAUACCGCAUACGCCUUGAGAGGGAAAGCUUUAUGCGCCCUGGGAUGAGCCCGCGUCGGAUUAGCUUGUUGGUGAGGUAACGGCUCACCAAGGCUUCGAUCCGUAGCUGGUCUGAGAGGAUGAUCAGCCACACUGGGACUGAGACACGGCCCAGACUCCUACGGGAGGCAGCAGUGGGGAAUAUUGGACAAUGGGGGAAACCCUGAUCCAGCCAUGCCGCGUGCGUGAAGAAGGCCUUAGGGUUGUAAAGCGCUUUC